Non-coding RNA from Parelaphostrongylus tenuis, 75 nucleotides. Lineage: Eukaryota; Metazoa; Nematoda; Chromadorea; Rhabditida; Metastrongylidae. The record is from the annotation of a GenBank genome assembly.
GCAUUGGUAGUGCAACGGUUGAGAACACGCGUCUCCGCACAGAAAGAAAUGCGGGUUCAAACCCCGCCUGAGGCA